CUGUUCGUCGCCAGCGCACGUGCGCGGAGUAGCGUCUCCCCAGCGAGACGCCGAUCUCUUGGCGGCCGCGCCCUAGCCGCCGCUCCUGGGGCGUUGCCACCUUCUCCGCCGGCCUCUUACUCCCCAACACUCUCUCGCUCCCCAACCCUAGCGCCUCGCGCUGACCGCCGCCGCCGCUCCCUCCCAGUGUCCGAGUCCGACCGCCGUGCUGCCUUAGGAGGUCGCACCUGCGCCGCCUCGGGGCGAUGGAGGCAUCCCCGUCCCGCGGCUUCGCUGCGCCGCCACCGGACUAAAUCCUAGCGGCGCCGUCUCCGCUCCCGCCCCAGCCAUGGCCGGCCGGUCCGGCGUCUCCUCCUCGCGCGGCGGCGUCGGGAUCGACCGCUUCUACAGCCCGCCCCACGUGCACUGCCAGCAGCAGGAGGAGCAGCUGCAGCGGCUCAAGGGCCAGCGCCCCUCGUCCCCCGCCGCUGUGGUGCUCACGCCCAGGGCCGCCAGGCAGCGGCCGCCCCCGCCGUCGGCGGCUGGGGCCGCGGAGCCGGCCGCCCCGCCUCCAGAAGAGGCCGAGAGGCGGGCUGACGCGUAGGGAAUCUGGAGAGGUUCCUCAGCUCCACGACGCCGUCCGUGCCCGUGCAGUACUUGCCCAAGUAGGAGCACGGAACGUGGUUGCCCUGUAGUUCAUGAUGGAUUACAGUAUUUCACCAUUGCUUCGGCAAAGAAUUGAAGAAUUUGAAAGUCUCAUAUUUGUAAGUGAGCUUGCAUCCUGAUGGCUUCCAUUGAACACUAGAUCAGCGGUUGAUGAAAUGGGGUGUGCACAUAGCCAUUCAGGACAAGAUAGGAUCAGAGCAGAUAUGGGACCUCAAGAGAUUUGGAGCAAACUUAAAAGGUUAAAGCUUCAGGUUACUAUCGUGCUCAAGAUGUUUAGGCAAAAAUUGAUGUACCGGCACUACUAAUUCCUGUGCUUGAAGAAACAUUUUCCGAUUUCAGGUUCUAGAGGGCUCCUGGGCUUGCCACUACGUACUGCAGAUGCAUACUAUGCAUGGCAAAUGAUGAUCAAGCCCUGUCCACAUGCCAACAGGUUCCCCUUUUUACUGCUCUAAUCUGAUUGAGUUAAUAUUACUUGCCAUGGUCAGAGUUAAUGUUAAUUGCCGUGGUUUGGUCAAGGUAUCAAUUGUUAUGUAAUUCGAACUAGACAACUAUGUCAUCACUUCUGAACGUAGAAAUGCCAAUGAUCAAGGCCAUGUCAAUGGUUCAGUGUAUUGGUUGCUUCUUCUUGAAUAUUUGUCCAAUUAUAAACAUUUUAGUUGAGUUUCAGAAGUUCAAAAACAUAAAA
Panicum virgatum (switchgrass) is the source of this 1330-nucleotide long non-coding RNA. RefSeq lists it as uncharacterized. The transcript has 7 exons. Lineage: Eukaryota; Viridiplantae; Streptophyta; Magnoliopsida; Poales; Poaceae. The record is from RefSeq and is a predicted model, not a curated record.